UCCUACGGGGGGCAGCAGUGGGGGAUAUUGCACAAUGGGGGAAACCCUGAUGCAGCGACGCCGCGUGGGUGAAGAAGCGCCUCGGCGCGUAAAGCCCUGUCAGCAGGGAAGAAAAUGACGGUACCUGAAGAAGAAGCCCCGGCUAACUACGUGCCAGCAGCCGCGGUAAUACGUAGGGGGCAAGCGUUAUCCGGAUUUACUGGGUGUAAAGGGAGCGUAGACGGCUAAUCAAGUCAGAAGUGAAAACCCAGGGCUCAACCUUGGGACUGCUUUUGAAACUGAGUAGCUAGAGUGCAGGAGAGGUA
This 305-nucleotide ribosomal RNA is filed under the name uncultured bacterium. RNAcentral describes it as "bacterial SSU rRNA". It matches the Rfam family "Bacterial small subunit ribosomal RNA", at positions 337 to 659 of the family's 1533-position model. The record is from RNAcentral.